Molecule: ribosomal RNA, 451 nt
Filed under: uncultured bacterium
Lineage: Bacteria
Description: partial 16S ribosomal RNA
Rfam family: Bacterial small subunit ribosomal RNA
Source: RNAcentral
AGCGAACGCUGGCGGCAUGCCUAACACAUGCAAGUCGCACGGGGGGGCUUCGGCCUCCCAGUGGCGGACGGGUGAGGAACGCGUAGGGACCUGUCGAGGGGUGGGGGAUAACCGCGGGAAACUGCGGCUAAUACCGCAUGACGCCGCGGCGUGACAGCCGGGGCCAAAGGCGAAAGCCGCCCGCCGAGGGGCCUGCGUCCGAUUAGCUGGUUGGCGGGGUAGCGGCCCACCAAGGCGUCGAUCGGUAGCUGGUCUGAGAGGGUGAUCAGCCACACCGGGACUGAGACACGGCCCGGACUCCUACGGGAGGCAGCAGUGGGGAAUAUUGGACAAUGGGCGCAGGCCUGAUCCAGCAAUGCCGCGUGGGUGAAGAAGGUCUUCGGAUUGUAAAGCCCUUUCGGCGGGGACGAUGGUGACGGUACCCGCAGAAGAAGCCCCGGCUAACUUCGUG